This is a non-coding RNA of Nothobranchius furzeri (turquoise killifish), 3593 nucleotides long. The record is from RefSeq and is a predicted model, not a curated record. NCBI's taxonomy places the organism in Eukaryota, Metazoa, Chordata, Actinopteri, Cyprinodontiformes, Nothobranchiidae.
UGGUAUAUUUUCAUAACUGUAGAUUUUUUUUAAAGAUUAUUGAACAAUAGAACCCAUUUCAGCUCAGAUUAUUUAGAAUACUAGAAUAUGUUGGAAUGUUAUAGAAGAUCUGCCUCAAAAACAUCUUCCUCCUCUUCAUCAUCAUCAUCACUGAUGGUGAGAUUUGCCGCCAUAAUUGUCUCGGUUUCCUACAAAAAUCUUAGAAGAAAACUGCAAAAUGUGUUCAAUAUUAUGAUUAUUAUUAAUGCUACCAUCAUUAUGAAAAUUAAGUCUAAUAAACAAUCUUUUUAAAUGAAAAAUAUACAUAAUUUUCCUUACUUGUUCAGGGCGCAUCAUGUUAUGAUUUCACCACCUUCAUUGGGUUUCACAUUUACAACACAUGUAUCCUUAUUUGGCACAAAUAGUCAACUAUAUCAUGUGAGAGGUCCUUUAAACCUAGCAUUAUUAGGUUUAGAGAUCCGACUGUAAACACCAGAGGAGACCGAGCCACAAGAAGGCAGUUGUCCGGUUCUGCAAACCUACCAAUAGUUGGCGCAUCACAGACCCGCUCCAAUUGGUCGAACAGCGCCAUGGCGUUGACCAUGACUAGCUGAUCUCUGAUGAUUGCUUGGGUGAAAUCCUGUGAUUCUAAGAGCUUGUGAAAGUGGAAGUGUCUAAAUAUAGACACUGUCCCUAUUAAGGGUUGUAACCCGUCCCAGACAAAAAUAAUGGCGCUGAUGAACUGUGGAUAGUAUGCACACAAUUUAACAAAGCGUCUGAGCAAGCUGUAAGAAUGUAAGCCUGUUCAGAUAUUUUCAUAUUUUCAUCCCAAAAAAGGAAACAUAGAUUUGCACAUGGACACGUUUUAACAUAUGCGUGCAAGAAAAUCAUAAUUACACACUUCAUUUAAGUUGAGGUACAGAAGUUCAGUGGAAUGAAAUGAGUAAAUCCACAUAAAAACCUAACUGCCAGCAAAUGAUCUUUGGCAAUAAUUAUCAUUUCCAACUGGCUGAAACUACAUAAACUUCUCCAUGACUGUCAGCGUGUUCUUCUCCAACAGACCAAAGGCUGAAACAUCCUACAGAGGGGAAAAGUGAAACUUUGCAGGAAUAGAAAUGCUCAGGUGUUGUCGUCGACCCCAACUUACCUUCAACAAACAAGUAAAAAACAGAAGGAAGUUUAGCCUCUCCAACAAAUCGGAGCGAAUUCAACAGUAGAAUCCGCUGUUCUGCACUUUAACCCACAAUCGUGUCACAUGACUUACUGCAUAACCAACUGGACUACAGUCUGUAAAAUUACCAUAGCAACAAUGAGUACAAUCAAAGGGUUCAAAUGAAGGCGACUGGACUUCUUUGGUUUUUUGAAGACGUUUCGCUUCUCAUCCGAGGAGCUUUUUCAGUUCUAACUGUAAUAUGGGAGAUUCAAGCUUAUAAGAUGUAGCUGUCUAUUUUUAUUUAAGGAGACGAAACUACUCUGGGUACCCUUCAUUUGAACCCUUUUGGAUUACAAUGACCUGGAUGACUGAGAACCUUCACCAGCAAAUCAGUACAACCUACAAACGUGCCUUAAAGGUCCUCAACAGAAAACCAAAAACUCCUCAUCAUUGCGAUAUUCUCAUUAAAUACCGGCUACUGUCUGAUCCCUGUUCUCUUUUAGAAGCACCUGUGGACUAAUUGUUCUCAACAACCUGGAUUACAAUUUCUACUGAAAUUCGCAAAAUAAACAACCUCAACUCUUUCAGAGGCUUUAAAAACCCAAAUCUGUUCCCACAGCCAAUCCUAAUCUAAAUCUGUUUUCUCUGUCUAUAAAAUCAGGGGCUUGCAUGUGAUACUUGUGUGCUUGGUGCUAUGAAAGUUCUCACUCGUGUUAACGUGACAAAAGUAAAUGUGAACCCUAACCCUUACCUCAAGCUGCCAUUCUUCAAAGAUAUUUUUCUGUCAUUUUUAUUUCUUUUGUGUAUGUAACUCAGACAAAUGCACUGUAAAACCUAACAGCAUAUCUUAAUAAACAAAGUGGGUUCAUAUAACUUUAUUCCCAGAAGAAGUUGAACUAACUGACUUGUAUGAAGUUCACCUUACUCAAAGAGAAAACUUGGUUACUAACUCUGCAGAUUUGAGUUAAUGACUUUUCAGUGUUCCAGUUGUUACUCAAACAUCAGAAUUUUGUUAGAUUUACAUAUUUUGUUUUGGUUGAUGCCCAUAAAUUCAUUUUAAGUCAUCUAAAAGAGUAGGCCCUGCUGAAUUGGGCAGGUGACCCUGUGUACCUGAGGAUGCCGAGGUGUCCAGCCUGAGGAAACAGUUUCUUUCUACACUGAAUGGAGAAGAGCCAGAAAUCAUCAUAGUUGAUUAAAAAGACAACGCCGGACUACCAUUUUUGGUAAGAAUGUUCUUUCAAUGGUUAUGUUGCAAUUUGUUGUUUCCUUGUUUCAGUUACCGAGUAAAUUCACAAACUAUAACUGUGGCGAGCUUCAAGAUGUCUAAUGUUUAAUAUGCUGUGUGACCUAAUAAGGGUGUAUGUGCAAAACAACAGUAGGUUACAAAAAGCUUCAUGGUUGAAAUGCUAGCGUAUUUUAGAAUUUUAUAUUAACAUUUUUAUUUAUCAAAAUGCUGUUAAACUGCUGUUCAAUGAGUCAUUUGGCCUAAAAUUGGUAACACAGUACAAUACAAUCUCUUUGGAAAGUUCUGAUGGAAUAGUUUUACUAUGUUGUAGAAACAACAUUUAAAGCCUUGUUUUUGUUUGAAAAUAAAGACAUAAUUCUAUUAGGUAAACUGCUACCUGGAAUGGGUUAAUACAUGUCAGUCAUUUCCAUCUAAAUGGUAUUUUUGGUUUGUACGGACACACAUAAUGCGAGCUACAAAAACUCUGAGUACUAUAAUACUAAACAAUGCUUUAUUGAUAAAUGUCUACUUUACUUCCUACAUUCCAGAGAAGUUUGCAUCAGGCCAAGAGCUGACCAAGGCCCAGACAAUGAAGAACCACCGAGGUCCCUCUUACCCACAAGGAUGUUGAACUUUGAUUUUGCAGUGACUAGGAGUCAAGCUCUACACGGAUCUCCAUAGGAUCACAAACCAAAGCCUGCAAUACUACUUCUGUUCCUGACUGGACCCAUAGUCACCUCAAAAUCUGACGCUGUACAAAAAGAUGAGGACGGGAAUUUCAGACGAGGCGAUGAAAAAACUCAUGGAGACUUUUGAAGAACAAGACAUGAAUGAACAGCAACCCUAGCUGGUCUGCCACUGCACCUGAAGGAGGAUUUGGACAUCUGUAACACUUAUAAGGUAAUUUGUGAUUUAUUUAUCUUUUUCUUUUAAUUUGAGACAUUUAUCUGGAAUUCGUUAAAUUUAUUUCUUAAUUUAAAAAAAUUCUUGUAUGAAGGAAUGAAUGCAGCAUAGCAGUUAAUACAAUAAAUGCAGGUUCAGAACAACAAAUGCUUAAAAUUAGCCAUCAAAAAUUUCAUCUGAAAAACUCGACUGCAUGAAUUUUUAGCUUGUUAGCCUUGUUAGCAUGUCGUGAGUAAACUUCCUUGUUUCUAAUCUCCACUUUCACACAAUGCACAAACCAGUUUAAACUAGGAGUUUCCAGGUCCUACUGUCUGCUGACCAUGACCUGAAAAA